GUGUCAGCAGCCGCGGUAAUACAGAGACUGCAAGCGUUAUUCGGAUUCACUGGGCGUAAAGGGUGCGCAGGCGGCCAAGUGUGUUAGGUGUGAAAGCCCGGGGCUUAACCCCGGAAUUGCACCUAAAACUACAUGGCUAGAGCAUUGGAGAGGGGAGCAGAAUUCACGGUGUAGCAGUGAAAUGCGUAGAUAUCGUGAGGAAUACCAGAGGCGAAGGCGGCUCCCUGGACAAUUGCUGACGCUCAGGCACGAAAGCGUGGGGAGCAAAAGGGAUUAGAUACCCGAGUAGUCC
This 292-nucleotide ribosomal RNA is filed under the name uncultured bacterium. Its description in RNAcentral is "partial 16S ribosomal RNA". It matches the Rfam family "Bacterial small subunit ribosomal RNA", at positions 505 to 796 of the family's 1533-position model. The record is from RNAcentral.